GAUGAACGCUGGCGGCGUGCCUAAUACAUGCAAGUCGAGCGAACAGACGAGGAGCUUGCUCCUCUGACGUUAGCGGCGGACGGGUGAGUAACACGUGGAUAACCUACCUAUAAGACUGGGAUAACUUCGGGAAACCGGAGCUAAUACCGGAUAAUAUCUUGAACCGCAUGGUUCAAUAGUGAAAGACGGUUUUGCUGUCACUUAUAGAUGGAUCCGCGCCGCAUUAGCUAGUUGGUAAGGUAACGGCUUACCAAGGCGACGAUGCGUAGCCGACCUGAGAGGGUGAUCGGCCACACUGGAACUGAGACACGGACCAGACUCCUAAGGGAGGCAGCAGUAGGGAAUCUUCCGCAAUGGGCGAAAGCCUGACGGAGCAACGCCGCGUGAGUGAUGAAGGUCUUCGGAUCGUAAAACUCUGUUAUUAGGGAAGAACAAAUGUGUAAGUAACUAUGCACGUCUUGACGGUACCUAAUCAGAAAGCCACGGCUAACUACGUG
RNAcentral lists this ribosomal RNA (497 nucleotides) under uncultured bacterium. RNAcentral describes it as "partial 16S ribosomal RNA". It matches the Rfam family "Bacterial small subunit ribosomal RNA", at positions 28 to 507 of the family's 1533-position model. The record is from RNAcentral.